RNAcentral lists this RNase P RNA (342 nucleotides) under Sulfurimonas autotrophica. Its description in RNAcentral is "RNase P RNA component class A". It matches the Rfam family "Bacterial RNase P class A". Rfam says of the family: Ribonuclease P (RNase P) is a ubiquitous endoribonuclease, found in archaea, bacteria and eukarya as well as chloroplasts and mitochondria. Its best characterised activity is the generation of mature 5'-ends of tRNAs by cleaving the 5'-leader elements of precursor-tRNAs. The record is from RNAcentral. Lineage: Bacteria; Pseudomonadati; Campylobacterota; Epsilonproteobacteria; Campylobacterales; Sulfurimonadaceae.
AGGUAUAAGAGAUAGUGACUUGAAGUAAUUUCAAGAGGAAAGUCCGAGCUGCUGUAAGACAAUGUUCCAUUUAACUAAUGGCCGUAGUAAUACGAGGGAAAGUGCAACAGAGAAUAGACUUCCACUGUUUUUUCGUAAUAGAAACAAAUAGUGGUAAAGGUGAAAAGGUGGUGUAAGAGACUACCAGUCUUUAUAGCGAUAUAAAGAGCUUGUAAACCCAACAUGGCAGCAAGAAACAAACGGUUAGCGUCUUACAAUGCUAUUGUUUCGCUAGAGGUACAGCGUAAGCUGUGCAGUAGAUUAAUGCUAUCAUACAAAACUCGGCUUAUCUUAUACCUGCAU